This is a long non-coding RNA of Bombina bombina (fire-bellied toad), 533 nucleotides long. RefSeq lists it as uncharacterized. The record is from RefSeq and is a predicted model, not a curated record. Lineage: Eukaryota; Metazoa; Chordata; Amphibia; Anura; Bombinatoridae. The transcript is spliced from 3 exons.
AGGUGGUGUGGUACAGUUCAUUCCUAAUUGGAUGUUAUGUCUCAGAAUGUUUUGGAGCUGAAUACCAAUACUACUAUGUUUGUCACUACUGCCCAGCAGGAAAUGACGCCGACACAAUGAAUACUCCUUAUACAGUUGGAACUCCUUGUGAAGCCUGCCCCAAUUCAUGUGACAAUGGUCUAUGCACUAAUCCUUGUGGAGCUCAAAACAAUUAUUCCAACUGCAAGGACUUUACGGAUUCCUGUAAUUCAUAUUCCAUUCAGGAGGCCUGCCCAGCUUCCUGUUCUUGCAAAAACAAUGAAAUAUACUAACUCCAAAAUCAAUGCAGAGGGAUUACCCAGCUACCUGAUCCUGCAAAAAAAGAAAAAAAAACUUUCUGCACUACUAUUUAUAUGCAUCCUAAUAAAAAAUAUAUUUUGCAUUUAUUUUUAAAUGCUUAUAUCACAAUAUCCUAAUAUGUAACUAUAUAACUACUGUAUAUACCCCCCUCUCUCUCUCUUUCUUUCUCCUUCUCUCUCUCUCUCUCUCUCUCU